GGGUAGGGGCCCUGUGGGGAAGGGGAGGGCCUAGGGACUCCGGGGGGCCAGACGGGGUGCACCUGCUGCAGCCGGACACUAGGGAUCUGAAAAUCCAUCAAGAUGGAAACCUUCCCCGAGGUUAGAGGACCGGGAUCCACUACUUUUCAGUCUUCUGAGAAUCCUUCAAGCCUCAGUGCCUGGAUGCCUGGACUUCGGACUUCGAGCUCCUAAGCAGAAAAAGGAGUCUUUUUUUUUUUUUAAACUUUUCUCUCUUCCAUUUCAAGGCUGAGAACAUACGACUUUGAAGGCCACUAUCUACGGAUACGCGCUUCUCCAAACCUUGGAACCCGAGGUCUAGCCUUGGAACAAGUCGCUGCCGCCUCACUGCCUCUUCUCGCCUGGAAAAGUCCCAGCGCCGUGGGAUACUGCAGGGCACAGUGCUAGGUCCUGGGCUCCUUUUGCCAUGGUCCCCAUCACUGUCAGGUUCUUGAGAUUUCAGACUUUGGGUAUGGAAACCAGCUGACCGGUUUUCUUGGCGAGGUGAAUCGGAAACCUGUGGAGACAUUUCUCAAUCGUGAUUCAUCUACGUGCCGAGGUAAAGCACUGGGCUUUGGCACCUCAGCCCCUGGGCCCCAGGGGUCAGCAGUGGAACCGAUUGGACAUCUCAGAAGUACGUGUGUGUGUGUGUGUGUGUGUGUGUGUGUGUGUGUGUGUGUGUGUGUCCCUAGCCCUUGACAGAUACCCACCUUCUGUAAGUCCCUUCUAAAAAGUCCACAAGCUCUGCUGGCUGUAGUAGGAAUGACCCUCAGCUGGACUUUGGGAACUAACAUGGACGGUAGAAGAAGCUAACAGGAAGCCUGGGGGGAAAUUAGUUUGAAUUUUGCCUGGUCCAUUGGGGCCACUUGUGUUGGUGCUCAGCACACCUGGUGUGAAAGAACCCAACUUCACUGCUGAGAAUAGAGGACAGCACCCCGCGGGAACUGGACACUGUCUCUCAGCUACACAGAUUUUAUUUAUUAUGUAUACAACAUUCUGCUUCCAUGUAUAUCUGCACACCAGAAGAG
This 1046-nucleotide long non-coding RNA is filed under the name Cricetulus griseus (Chinese hamster). RNAcentral's name for it is "lncRNA (ENSCGRG00015042253.1)". The record is from RNAcentral. Lineage: Eukaryota; Metazoa; Chordata; Mammalia; Rodentia; Cricetidae.